Molecule: long non-coding RNA, 1972 nt
Filed under: Homo sapiens (human)
Lineage: Eukaryota; Metazoa; Chordata; Mammalia; Primates; Hominidae
Description: non-protein coding FMR1-AS1:12
Source: RNAcentral
GCUGCUGGGAACCGGCCGGGGUGCCGGGUCGAAAGACAGACGCGCGGGCCGGGCGUGCGCGGGCUUGGUGGAGGGCGGGAAGGCUGAAGGGCGGUGACAGGUCGCACUGCCUCGCGAGGGCCAGAACGCCCAUUUCUGCAGAGGUGCACUCAGUGGCGUGGGAAAUCAAAUGCAUCCGGUUAUCCCAGUUCGGCCUCUCUGGGAUUCCGCGGGAGGGGGUGUCUGGUCUGGUUUGGUUUGGUUUGGUUUGGUUUGGUUUGGUCCGGUUCAAAGUAGCGCAGUCUGACUGAGCGGGAGGUGGAGUGGAAGGCGAGAAUAGGGGUGAAGGAUUAGACAGAAGAAGACUUUGAACUAGGAACAGUGGCAACCAGGGUGACCCAGGCUUUUGUGACCCGUAGAGGCAGAAGCUGCCUUAAUCCAUGUUCCCUUCGGGAUGCUGGUAUCCAACUGAGAAGUUGACGGAGCAUCUAUCGUGUGCCAGACACUGUGCUAAGUGCUAACGAGAAAUCGGUGAGCAAAACAGAAAAGAAAAAAAAAGAAGAAACGACUGCCAGCAUUGAACUUAGUACCUAGCAAAGUAGGUGGACAUAAAUCAAAUUGUCAGACAAGUAAAUGAGUAGUUGCAGCUGUGAUAAGGGGUAUGAAGAAUAGGCGCUUCCAUGAUGGCGGAACAUGACCUAGUCUGGGGUGGAGAAGGGGAGAUGAUUCCAGCUGGAAUAUGGCAGGUGAGAGUUAACUAAUAGCACUGAGUUGGCAGAGGCAGGAUGACCUGCCCCAGGCAGGUGCCCCAGAAUGAGAGGAUGUUGCUGCUGGUGGAACUCCAGCUUUAAAGCGGUGGAUCUAGGGCCACAUUCCUCAAGGCCAUAGCAAACAGGAAAGACCUUUUGGACUAGGGUCUUUGGAGUAGUCACAUGAGGCCAAGAACCCAAUAGGGCUGAAAGAGAAUCUCAUCAUAGGCUGAAUGGGAGCAGAGCAUUAGCUGCAACUCCAAUGUAUUAUAGUAAAAGGGGACACAUUGAUUAGAAUGAUUAUACCCCUCCAAGUGUAAGCUGUUGUUCAAUUUACCCAGGGCUUAAAAAUAUGUCAACUCUUCACAACCAUUUUUACUACAAGCCACACUCAACCUGUGUUGUUCCCUGAACCUGUGAUGCACUUUCAUCCGUUCAUGUCUCUACACAUCCUUCCUGGGCCCCAUAGAGGCCCUGCACCUUAAGGUUUUCAGCUGGAUUCCUAUUAGCUAGUUAUUUUAUCUCAGGUACAGAGAGUUAACUUUGCUCCUCAAUUUUCAGCACAUUGUCAUAUCAGUCCCUACAGGGUCCUUGUUUACAUUAUUUUAUAGUGUUUAUAUUAUUUUUUCCUCAUCUUUCUCGAUCCCCACUCUCAUUCUUCUAGACACAAGCUGCAAUAUGUUCGAUAGAGAUCCUUGAUAAUUUAACACAGAUAAUGUUUUGUUUAUGCCUCUUGCAUUUACAGAGAUGGUAUUGGACUGUAAAUCUCUAUUUCCCACUGUUUUACUCAACAGUCUGUUUUUGAGCUAUACCCACAUUGCUGUGUGUACACCUAGUUUGCUACCGAGUAUGCCAGAAAUUUUAUUCAUACAUAUCCCUACUGAUCGGGCAUCUAGGUUACUGCCAACUCCCUGAAGUCAUACUGUGGUGAAAACCCUUGUGAAUGUCUUUACAAACCUUUGCCAGAACUUAUUUUGUGCUCUUGUAGAACUUUGUGCAUACCCUCUGCUUCCUCAUUACACUGCUUGGCAUAUAGCAGAGACUCAACAAAUGUUGAAUACCUCUACUAUGAUGGUUAGUGUACUAGAAUAAUUUAUUUAUAUUUCUGUUUUCCUUAUUGGAUUAUUAGUACCUUCCAGACAGGGCAAAUGUCUUUUCUAUCUUUGUGUCCCUGGCACAUUAAAAGUGGUUGAUUUCAAGGUAUGUUCAAUGAAUGAAUAAAUACUUAUCUUCACUGCCAGUAC